UACGUAGGGUGCGAGCGUUAAUCGGAAUUACUGGGCGUAAAGCGUGCGUAGGCGGUUCGUUAAGUUCGUUGUGAAAGCCCCGGGCUCAACCUGGGAACUGCAAUGGAAACUGGCGGGCUUGAGUGUGGCAGAGGGGGGUGGAAUUCCGCGUGUAGCAGUGAAAUGCGUAGAGAUGCGGAGGAACACCGAUGGCGAAGGCGACACGCUGGGCCAUACCUGACGCUAAAGCGCGACAGCAUGGGGAGCAAACGGG
RNAcentral lists this ribosomal RNA (253 nucleotides) under uncultured bacterium. RNAcentral describes it as "partial 16S ribosomal RNA". It matches the Rfam family "Bacterial small subunit ribosomal RNA", at positions 524 to 776 of the family's 1533-position model. The record is from RNAcentral.